RNAcentral lists this microRNA precursor (190 nucleotides) under Oryza brachyantha (malo sina). Its description in RNAcentral is "MIR812 microRNA precursor family". It matches the Rfam family "MIR812 microRNA precursor family". Lineage: Eukaryota; Viridiplantae; Streptophyta; Magnoliopsida; Poales; Poaceae. The record is from Rfam by way of RNAcentral.
AAUAAACCAAUUUUUCACUUUUUACCUAUAAUUUUUUACUCUUCGUCUUAUUCAAAAAAAAUUGCGAUUGAUAUUUUUAUUUUUACUAGGUGAUAAAUCAUGAAUAGUACUUUACGUGUGACUAAUUUUUUUCUAAUUUCCUGAAAAUUUUUCAAAUAAAACGCAUGGUCAAGCGUUGGACACGGAAACC